This 469-nucleotide ribosomal RNA is filed under the name uncultured bacterium. Its description in RNAcentral is "partial 16S ribosomal RNA". It matches the Rfam family "Bacterial small subunit ribosomal RNA", at positions 28 to 507 of the family's 1533-position model. The record is from RNAcentral.
GACGAACGCUGGCGGCGUGCUUAACACAUGCAAGUCGAACGGAAAGGCCCUGCUUGCAGGGUGCUCGAGUGGCGAACGGGUGAGUAACACGUGGGUGAUCUGCCCCUUACUUUGGGAUAAGCCUGGGAAACUGGGUCUAAUACUGGAUAGGACCAUGCUGUAGGUGGUGUGGUGGAAAGAUUAGUUUCGGUAAGGGAUGAGCUCGCGGCCUAUCAGCUUGUUGGUGGGGUAAUGGCCUACCAAGGCGUCGACGGGUAGCCGGCCUGAGAGGGUGGACGGCUACAUUGGGACUGAGAUACGGCCCAGACUCCUACGGGAGGCAGCAGUGGGGAAUAUUGCACAAUGGGCGCAAGCCUGAUGCAGCGACGCCGCGUGGGGGAUGACGGCCUUCGGGUUGUAAACUCCUUUCAGCCAUGACGAAGCCCUUGUGGUGACGGUAGUGGUAGAAGAAGCACCGGCUAACUACGUG